UCAGAUAUGGUGUAACGGUAACAUGGCCUCAUCCAAUUGUCGAGGCCGUCCCGGGUUCGACUCCCGGUAUCUGAC
This is a non-coding RNA of Mycena crocata, 75 nucleotides long. The record is from the annotation of a GenBank genome assembly. NCBI's taxonomy places the organism in Eukaryota, Fungi, Basidiomycota, Agaricomycetes, Agaricales, Mycenaceae.